Molecule: ribosomal RNA, 622 nt
Filed under: uncultured Staphylococcus sp.
Lineage: Bacteria; Bacillati; Bacillota; Bacilli; Caryophanales; Staphylococcaceae
Description: bacterial SSU rRNA
Rfam family: Bacterial small subunit ribosomal RNA
Source: RNAcentral
AACCUGGAGCUAAUACCGGAUAAUAUUUUGAACCGCAUGGUCAAAAGUGAAAGACGGUCUUGCUGUCACUUAUAGAUGGAUCCGCGCUGCAUUAGCUAGUUGGUAAGGUAACGGCUUACCAAGGCAACGAUGCAUAGCCGACCUGAGAGGGUGAUCGGCCACACUGGAACUGAGACACGGUCCAGACUCCUACGGGAGGCAGCAGUAGGGAAUCUUCCGCAAUGGGCGAAAGCCUGACGGAGCAACGCCGCGUGAGUGAUGAAGGUCUUCGGAUCGUAAAACUCUGUUAUUAGGGAAGAACAUAUGUGUAAGUAACUGUGCACAUCUUGACGGUACCUAAUCAGAAAGCCACGGCUAACUACGUGCCAGCAGCCGCGGUAAUACGUAGGUGGCAAGCGUUAUCCGGAAUUAUUGGGCGUAAAGCGCGCGUAGGCGGUUUUUUAAGUCUGAUGUGAAAGCCCACGGCUCAACCGUGGAGGGUCAUUGGAAACUGGAAAACUUGAGUGCAGAAGAGGAAAGUGGAAUUACCAUGUGUAGCGGUGAAAUGCGCAGAGAUAUGGAGGUACACCAGUGGCGAAGGCGACUUUCUGGUCUGUAACUGACGCUGAUGUGCGAAAGCGUG